RNAcentral lists this ribosomal RNA (907 nucleotides) under Cordyceps farinosa. RNAcentral's name for it is "LSU rRNA". It matches the Rfam family "Eukaryotic large subunit ribosomal RNA", at positions 38 to 976 of the family's 3401-position model. Lineage: Eukaryota; Fungi; Ascomycota; Sordariomycetes; Hypocreales; Cordycipitaceae. The record is from RNAcentral.
GCAUAUCAAUAAGCGGAGGAAAAGAAACCAACAGGGAUUGCCCCAGUAACGGCGAGUGAAGCGGCAACAGCUCAAAUUUGAAAUCUGGCCUCCGGGUCCGAGUUGUAAUUUGUAGAGGAUGCUUUUGGCGAGGUGCCUUCCGAGUUCCCUGGAACGGGACGCCAUAGAGGGUGAGAGCCCCGUCUGGUCGGACACCGAGCCUCUGUAAAGCUCCUUCGACGAGUCGAGUAGUUUGGGAAUGCUGCUCAAAAUGGGAGGUAUAUGUCUUCUAAAGCUAAAUAUUGGCCAGAGACCGAUAGCGCACAAGUAGAGUGAUCGAAAGAUGAAAAGCACUUUGAAAAGAGGGUUAAAAAGUACGUGAAAUUGUUGAAAGGGAAGCGCCUAUGACCAGACUUGGGCCCGGUGAAUCAUCCAGCGUUCUCGCUGGUGCACUUUGCCGGGCACAGGCCAGCAUCAGUUUGGCGCGGGGGAAAAAGGUUUUGGGAAUGUGGCUCCCUCGGGAGUGUUAUAGCCCAUUGCGUAAUACCCUGCGCCGGACUGAGGUACGCGCAUCGCAAGGAUGCUGGCGUAAUGGUCAUCAGCGACCCGUCUUGAAACACGGACCAAGGAGUCGUCUUCGUAUGCGAGUGUUCGGGUGUCAAACCCCUACGCGUAAUGAAAGUGAACGCAGGUGAGAGCUUCGGCGCAUCAUCGACCGAUCCUGAUGUUCUCGGAUGGAUUUGAGUAAGAGCAUACGGGGCCGGACCCGAAAGAAGGUGAACUAUGCCUGUAUAGGGUGAAGCCAGAGGAAACUCUGGUGGAGGCUCGCAGCGGUUCUGACGUGCGAAUCGAUCGUCAAAUAUGGGCAUGGGGGCGAAAGACUAAUCGAACCUUCUAGUAGCUGGUUUCCGCCGAAGUUUCCCUUCAG